UCAGUGUAGAGUCCAGACAGUUUAGAUAAGGCAGGGUAAACUGUGGAUGAGGGUGGCUUAGUGACCUCCUGAGAAGCCCGCAGAGCUCUUUGGAAAAGAAAGAUUGUCCUCUUCUGGGAUUAUCCAAUCUAUUGAGAGGAAUUUGUUGCCCAUCUCCGGGACUGGGACAGGAUCAUUGUAGCCCAUUUGUCACAGGCUGGAGACCUCGCUGUCCCCGGAGCCUGUAGCCUUCUACCAUGUGUCUCUGUACUUUGAUCCUGGUGUCGCUUGCAGUUUUCACAGCAGAGGCAAAACACCCUUCCUCACCACCUGUGGUGGACACUGUUCACGGCAAAGUCCUGGGGAAGUAUGUAAGCUUAGAAGGAUUCACACAGCCUGUGGCCGUCUUCCUGGGAGUACCCUUUGCCAAGCCUCCUCAUGGAUCCCUGAGGUUUGCUCCGCCACAGCCAGCAGAUCCCUGGAGCUUCGUGAAGAAUGCCACCUCCUACCCUCCUAUGUGCUCUCAAGAUCCAGAGACAGGGACAAUAGUCAAUGACCUCCUAACCAACAGGAAAGAGAGAAUUCCUCUCCAGUUUUCUGAAGACUGUCUCUACCUAAAUAUUUACACUCCUGCUGACUUGGCAAAGAGUAACAGGCUGCCGGUGAUGGUUUGGAUCCAUGGCGGUGGACUAGUGGUGGGCGGGGCAUCCACUUAUGAUGGACUAGCCCUGUCUACCUAUGAAAACGUGGUGGUGGUGGUCAUUCAGUACCGCCUGGGCAUCUGGGGAUUCUUCAGCACAGGGGAUGAACACAGCCGGGGGAACUGGGGUCACUUGGACCAGGUGGCUGCACUGCGCUGGGUCCAGGACAACAUCGCCAACUUUGGAGGGGAUCCAGGUUCUGUGACCAUCUUCGGCGAGUCAGCAGGAGGUGAAAGUGUCUCUAUUCUUGUGUUGUCUCCCUUGGCCAAGAAUCUCUUCCACAAGGCCAUUUCUGAAAGUGGAGUGGCCCUCAGUGCGGGCCUGGUCAAGAAGAACACCAGGGCCUUGGCUGAGAAAAUUGUUGCUGCAUCUGGUUGUGAAAACACUACCUCAGCUGCCAUGGUUCACUGCCUUCGCCAGAAGACAGAGGAAGAACUCUUGGAAACCACACUGAAAUUGAAUCUUUUUAAGCUGAAUUUACAUGGAGAUUCCAGGCAGAGCUGUCCCUUUAUUCCCACUGUGCUGGAUGGAGUGGUGCUGCCAAAGAUGCCCGAAGAGAUCCUGGCUGAGAAGAGUUUCAACACUGUGCCCUACAUUGUGGGCAUCAACAAGCAAGAGUUUGGCUGGAUUCUGCCAACUAUGAUGAACUAUCCACCCUCUGACAUGAAAGUGGACCGGAUGACAGCCACAUCUCUCUUGAAGAAGUCCUCUUUUAUUCUUAACCUCCCCGAGGAUAAGAUUCCCAUGGCCGUUGAGAAUUAUUUAAGAGACACAGAUGACCCAGGCAGAAAUAAAGACCAACUUCUGGAGUUGAUCGGGGAUGUGGCCUUGGUUGUCCCAUCUGUGAUUGUCUCCCGUGGACAUAGAGAUGCCGGAGCUCCCACCUACAUGUAUGAGUUUCAGUAUCAUCCAAGCUUCUCACCAGAAAUGAGACCCAAUAAUGUGGUAGGAGAUCAUGGAGAUGAAGUCUACUCUGUCUUUGGUGCCCCGAUUUUAAGAGAAGGUGCCUCAGAAGAGGAGAUCAAUCUCAGCAAGAUGGUCAUGAAAUUCUGGGCAAACUUUGCUCAGAAUGGGAAUCCCAAUGGGAAAGGGCUGCCUCAUUGGCCAGAGUAUGACCAAAAGGAAGGGUAUCUGCAGAUUGGUGCCACCACCCAGCAAGCUCAGAGACUGAAAGACAAGGAAGUGGCUUUCUGGACUGAGCUCCUGGCUAAGAAGCCACUCCAGACAGGACAUACUGAGCUGUGAAUGGGAGGCUCCGCCAGCAGCCUCAGAAGGCCAGAGGAGCCCAAAUGAGGCUACUCCAAUGAAGGCUUGGCUGUGAGAACAACACUGGUGCUGCCCAUUCCGCCUCAUUUUGGUGAUCAGAGUAUCAGAGGAGUUACAAUUCUAUUGGCUCCACUUACAAAGUGCCCUGCUGGUCAUGCCAUAAGCUUUGAGGAAGAUGACCUAUUACCUGUAUUGAAAGGGAAACAGAUGAAGAAUGAUGGAACAGGCCUUACCCAAUGAGAAAUGUUCUCAUAAACUGAGACCCUUGAGGUCAGACAAGAGAGGACAUCAGGGUGGCCAUGACCAAAUGUCUGGUACCCCUCCUCACCACCUGUGGUGAACACUGUUAAUGGCAAAGUCCUGGGGAAGUAUGUCAAUUUAGAAGGAUUUGCACAGCCUGUGGCUGUUUUCCUGGGAGUCCCCUUUGCCAAACCUCCUCUUGGCUCCUUGAGGUUUGCACCACCACAGCCUGCAGAUCCCUGGAGCUUCGUGAAGAACACCACCUCC
Molecule: RNA transcript, 2453 nt
Organism: Meriones unguiculatus (Mongolian gerbil)
Lineage: Eukaryota; Metazoa; Chordata; Mammalia; Rodentia; Muridae
Gene name: carboxylesterase 1E
Exons: 17
Source: RefSeq, a predicted model, not a curated record